Small nucleolar RNA from Dunckerocampus dactyliophorus (ringed pipefish), 80 nucleotides. RefSeq annotates it as small nucleolar RNA SNORD79. The record is from RefSeq and is a predicted model, not a curated record. The transcript has a single exon. NCBI's taxonomy places the organism in Eukaryota, Metazoa, Chordata, Actinopteri, Syngnathiformes, Syngnathidae.
AACUGUCAGUGAUGAUUUGUUUGAAAACAAUGGGAAUCUCUCUGAAUAAGAGUGAAAGAGCUUUUUAUUCUGAUGCAGUG